Molecule: non-coding RNA, 97 nt
Organism: Acanthosepion pharaonis
Lineage: Eukaryota; Metazoa; Mollusca; Cephalopoda; Sepiida; Sepiidae
Source: the annotation of a GenBank genome assembly
UACAGGACAGGUUCUCAUACGAUCACUGAAGUUAGGCAACAUCGAGCCUGGUCAGUACCUAGAUGGGUGACUGCUUAGGAAUGCCAGGUGCUGUAAG